This 1928-nucleotide long non-coding RNA is filed under the name Canis lupus familiaris (dog). RNAcentral's name for it is "lncRNA (ENSCAFG00805020689.1, ENSCAFG00845024642.1)". Lineage: Eukaryota; Metazoa; Chordata; Mammalia; Carnivora; Canidae. The record is from RNAcentral.
UUUUUUUAUUUUUUUUAUUUUUUUUCUAAUCAGAUGGCCCAGAAGAGGGGACAUGAUGGAUGAGAGCAUUAUUAGGAAGUUCUGAGAAGGAAAAAAGAGCCCUGCCAUCUGACUGCUUCAAACUAGUCUGAUGAAUGGCUCACUCAUGGUGGGCCCCCCUAAAAGUGACCCAAGAUCUGCAUUUAUUCCACUUUCUUGGCUGAUGCCAAGCGUCGACCGGCUCCGUUCCUCUCACUUCCCGCCUAAAACUUAUCAACCUGAAAUUAUCCCAAAAGCAACCAACCCAGAACACCUUCUUGCUCCCUGCAGCUGCCCUGAAGCCGCUCAAGGUAAGGCCACGUGCUUGUCUAGGCCGUGCGAGCUCCUCACUCACCCAGAUGGCUCACUCUUCUCGCACGCAUGCCCUGCAUUUGCCGCAAAGGACCAAACUCAGGUUGGACGACGGAAGGGCCCCGGCCUGGCUGGCGGCGGUGCUUGCUCAGUGCUGGAGCGUACAGCUGUAGGCCGGCUCUCACUCCUGGCCCCGAGAGGGUGGUCGUAUUGCACUUCUCGGAUUCCUCUAGCUCCCCAGGAACAGCGUGCCCUGCCCCGCGGGGAACCCGUGCUGGUGACCAUCGUGGCUACAUCUGGAGCGAGCACCCUAACAGUUGGGAAGCAGCAGGAUCUCCACCAGGUUGAGAGGUUGUUGGCAAUGGGAAGACUCCAGCCCACACAUGCCCGGCAGAAACAGACUCUGCACCCUAGCCCGGCAUCCAGCAUGUUCCCUGAAAUGGCACUGCUCGGGGGAUGCUAUUAAAUAUGACAAAUAUGUUCACACCACGUCUGUGCAAUCUUUUGCGGCCUCUCGCUUGGAAUCAGGACAGUGUGCAACCUGUGUGCCUUGUGAUUUGGGGCGUAUGAUGACCUUGACGCUGUUCCCCACACCUUUCCCAAAGACACCUUCUGUUUUCCAGCCAUGACAAUAAAGCUCUGGCUCCCCAAACUUCCUGUCUUCUCAGUUGGAAGGUGUACAGUUGACCUCCCCGAGCCCUCACCACCACCGUUUCGUUCACAUGGACGCCCACCCAUACUUGCAGACAUGUGGUUUGGUGGUGCUUCCUAGAGAAUGCUCGCCAGUCCCGGCAGAUGGGGUGAAGGGGGUGUGUCUACACUCCUACUGGCGCGGUGGGGACCAUGUCCAGAGCCUACUGACAUUCUGUCCCUGUACUUCCCUGACUUCCAUGCCUGGUUCUAGGAUGGAAAGAGUGUUUCCUUUCGUUUCUAAUGCUGCCCCCAGCACACGGCCUGGGGCCAUGGAGAUGCUGGGUAAAAGGUUCCCUGAGUGAAUAAAUGGGUGAGUGUUUCAGUCGAAUGAGUGAAUGCAUACAUUGUUUGCCAUUUUCCAAGUCAGGGUGGUCAAGAAUGUAUGCAAUGGUGGAAAAGACAGUGACUCCUCAUCUACCUAACAUUUGCUAAAGAUUCAAUACUAUCAUAUUAGAGGUUUUUUUUUUCCCUUUUUUUUUUAAUUUUUUAUUUAUUUAUGAUAGGCACACAGUGAGAGAGAGAGAGAGGCAGAGACACAGGCAGAGGGAGAAGCAGGCUCCAUGCAUCGGGAGCCCGACGUGGGACUCGAUCCCGGGUCUCCAGGAUCGCGCCCUGGGCCAAAGGCAGGCGCUAAACCCCUGCGCCACCCAGGAAUCCCAUAUUAGAGGUUUUUAAAAUUUUUUUUCAAUUUUGAAUCCAUGGAAAUGGCAUUUCCAUUAAAUAUAUAUUGAUGUUAUAUAUGCAUAUAUGUAUGUAUGAGAACAUUAUAUUUUCACAUAUAUGAUAAAUGUAAUAUAUACACAUAUGCAAUAUAUAAAAUAUGUAUGUAAAUAUAUAAAAAUCAAAAUUCUAUAAUCUGUGAUAUAUGUAAAGUAUAUAAAUUACAGAUUAUAACAUAUAGUUAU